GACCGGUUAGCCCAGUCGGAAGCGCGCCUGUGUGAUAUCAUUGGCGUCUCUUUCAGCUUGUGCGGGAAGCCCCGGUUCGAACCUGGGACAGGUCA
Molecule: non-coding RNA, 95 nt
Organism: Mycena rebaudengoi
Lineage: Eukaryota; Fungi; Basidiomycota; Agaricomycetes; Agaricales; Mycenaceae
Source: the annotation of a GenBank genome assembly